GUAGGUGGCAAGCGUUGUCCGGAAUUAUUGGGCGUAAAGCGCGCGCAGGCGGUCCUUUAAGUCUGAUGUAAAAGCCCACGGCUCAACCGUGGAGGGUCAUUGGAAACUGGGGGACUUGAGUACAGAAGAGGAAAGCGGAAUUCCAAGUGUAGCGGUGAAAUGCGUAGAGAUUUGGAGGAACACCAGUGGCGAAGGCGGCUUUCUGGUCUGUAACUGACGCUGAGGCGCGAAAGCGUGGGGAGCAAACAGGAUUAGAUACCCUGGUAGUCCACGCCGUAAACGAUGAGUGCUAAGUGUUAGGGGGUUUCCGCCCCUUAGUGCUGCAGCUAACGCAUUAAGCACUCCGCCUGGGGAGUACGGCCGCAAGGCUG
Molecule: ribosomal RNA, 371 nt
Filed under: uncultured organism
Description: partial 16S ribosomal RNA
Rfam family: Bacterial small subunit ribosomal RNA
Source: RNAcentral